This 918-nucleotide long non-coding RNA is filed under the name Sarcophilus harrisii (Tasmanian devil). RNAcentral's name for it is "lncRNA (ENSSHAG00000022300.1)". The record is from RNAcentral. Lineage: Eukaryota; Metazoa; Chordata; Mammalia; Dasyuromorphia; Dasyuridae.
AAUAAAGUCCCGGUGUGUGUGCGAGCGUGUUGUCUGUGGAUGCGGGUGCCUGUGAGUGUGAGCGCGUGCGCUAGCGCUGCAACCUCGCACGAAUAAUAAAAUCUGGGUCUAUGUGAGUGUGUGUCUGUGUGCGCGCGUGCCUGCGGGGAUGUGUGUACUACGCUUGUAACUCACCCUGAAUAAAGUCCGGGCGCGCGCGAGAGUGUGCGCGCGUGCACGCGGGGCUGCGUUAGCGCUGUGACACGCCGUGAAUAAAGUCCGGGGCUGCGUGUGCGCGCGCGCGUGCCUGCGGGAGUACGCGAGUGCAGGCAUGAGGGGGAACGUGUGCAUACAUACGUGUGUGUGUGUGUGUGCGAAGUUGAAAUUGCAAGAGUUUACCAAAUGCUUCCCCGGAGCGUGCGAGAAGAAACGGCCACUACCCGAGUAAAGAGCAUCUCUCUCUCCCAGUUUAACCAUAAGUCUUUCAGAAAAGACAUUUUCUGCAACUUCCGAGGAGUACAUUAAAACAGAGAGUGAGCAUGGCCAUGGUAUAGGAAACAGGAACUGACUUCAAAGUCAGGAAACCUUGGGUUCAAGUCACCUAACCCCAGGACAAGUUACUUUCCAGUAUUUGAGACAACACUCCAGAAGGAAGUGCAGAGAUGUCUGCCUGCUUUGGUAAAUGGUAUUUCCCAUCCCUGUACCUCACCAUCUAUUUCCCUUCACUAAUGAAAUCUUAGGCCCAAUUGCCAUCUCUAUAUUAAAAUAAAGUAUUUUCUAUUUUGUGUCUUAGAGUUGAGAUUCAGUUGAACUUUCUGAGUUCAAGAGCAAGGAGGAAUUGUUUUGUUUGUCAGCACCUAGCAUUCUUAAGCUCCCUCCUGGAGCAAGUAAUCCAAUAUAGGUUAAAUGUGUGCAGUUUUUCUAAACAUAUUUCUACUU